This 424-nucleotide ribosomal RNA is filed under the name uncultured bacterium. Its description in RNAcentral is "bacterial SSU rRNA". It matches the Rfam family "Bacterial small subunit ribosomal RNA", at positions 355 to 772 of the family's 1533-position model. The record is from RNAcentral.
UAGGGAAUCUUGCGCAAUGGACGAAAGUCUGACGCAGCGACGCCGCGUGAGCGAUGAAGGCCUUCGGGUUGUAAAGCUCUGUGGGGAGGGAAGAAUAAGGGCAAGCUAAUACCUUGUCUGAUGACGGUACCUCCUUAGCAAGCACCGGCUAACUCUGUGCCAGCAGCCGCGGUAAGACAGAGGGUGCAAACGUUGUUCGGAAUUACUGGGCGUAAAGCGUGCGCAGGCGGCCUUGCAAGUCGGGCGUGAAAUCCCACGGCUCAACCGUGGAAGUGCACUCGAAACUGCUCGGCUAGAGUCUUGGAGAGGAAGGCGGAAUGCUUGGUGUAGAGGUGAAAUUCGUAGAUAUCAAGCGGAACACCGGUGGCGAAGGCGGCCUUCUGGACAAUGACUGACGCUAAAACACGAAAGCGUGGGGAGCAAA